UACGGGGGGAGCAAGCGUUGUUCGGAUUUACUGGGCGUAAAGGGCGCGUAGGCGGCCAGCACAAGUCAGUUGUGAAAUCUCCGGGCUUAACUCGGAAAGGUCAACUGAUACUGUGCGACUAGAGUGCGGAAGGGGCAACUGGAAUUCUUGGUGUAGCGGUGAAAUGCGUAGAUAUCAAGAGGAACACCUGCGGCGAAGGCGGGUUGCUGGGCCGACACUGACGCUGAGGCGCGAAAGCCAGGGGAGCGAACGGG
RNAcentral lists this ribosomal RNA (254 nucleotides) under uncultured bacterium. RNAcentral's name for it is "partial 16S ribosomal RNA". It matches the Rfam family "Bacterial small subunit ribosomal RNA", at positions 524 to 776 of the family's 1533-position model. The record is from RNAcentral.